Molecule: transfer RNA, 66 nt
Filed under: Nomascus leucogenys (northern white-cheeked gibbon)
Lineage: Eukaryota; Metazoa; Chordata; Mammalia; Primates; Hylobatidae
Rfam family: tRNA
About the family: Transfer RNA (tRNA) molecules are approximately 80 nucleotides in length. Their secondary structure includes four short double-helical elements and three loops (D, anti-codon, and T loops). Further hydrogen bonds mediate the characteristic L-shaped molecular structure. tRNAs have two regions of fundamental functional importance: the anti-codon, which is responsible for specific mRNA codon recognition, and the 3' end, to which the tRNAs corresponding amino acid is attached (by aminoacyl-tRNA synthetases). tRNAs cope with the degeneracy of the genetic code in two manners: having more than one tRNA (with a specific anti-codon) for a particular amino acid; and 'wobble' base-pairing, i.e. permitting non-standard base-pairing at the 3rd anti-codon position.
Source: Rfam by way of RNAcentral
GGUAAAAUGGCUGAGUAAAGCAUUAGACUGUAAAUCUAAGGACAGAAGCUAAACCUCUUUUUACCA